Long non-coding RNA from Lytechinus variegatus (green sea urchin), 380 nucleotides. RefSeq lists it as uncharacterized. The record is from RefSeq and is a predicted model, not a curated record. Lineage: Eukaryota; Metazoa; Echinodermata; Echinoidea; Temnopleuroida; Toxopneustidae. The transcript is spliced from 2 exons.
CAUGUUUUAUUUAUCUCUAUUCCAUUCACAUUUUUAACACUUUUUUAAAGGGGUGGGGGGGGGGGGGUUGAAUCAACCUCCCUUGAGAUCUCUGCCAAUGAUCACAUUAACGCCUUGAAAAUUGGAAAACACUAGCUUGGCCUGGCACAUGCACAUUUAGGGAGCAUGAAUGAAACAAAUUAAAAGGGCAAUUAAUGCAUUUUCUUGGAAAAAAUAUAAUUUCAAUUGACCCCACAGGAUAACCUGAUGGCCUAGUUUGGGAAACCAGGUAGCCUAACAAGUAGAGCUCGACUCAGGCAACCAGAAAAAUACCAGCUAAUAAUUAACAAUAAUAAUUAUUCAUUUGGGCCAUUAUUGUAUUAUUAUACAAGAAUGAUGUG